This 66-nucleotide transfer RNA is filed under the name Dercas lycorias (plain sulphur). Its description in RNAcentral is "tRNA-Leu". Lineage: Eukaryota; Metazoa; Arthropoda; Insecta; Lepidoptera; Pieridae. The record is from RNAcentral.
UCUAAUAUGACAGAUUAUAUGUAAUGGAGUUAAAUCCCAUUUAUAAAGGAUUACCUUUUUUUAGAA